AUUGAACGCUGGCGGAAUGCUUUACACAUGCAAGUCGAACGGUAGAGGGGGCAACCCCUCGAGAGUGGCGAACGGGUGAGUAAUAUAUCGGAACGUGCCCAGUCGUGGGGGAUAACGUAGCGAAAGUUACGCUAAUACCGCAUACGAUCUAAGGAUGAAAGCGGGGGAUCGCAAGACCUCGCGCGAUUGGAGCGGCCGAUAUCAGAUUAGGUAGUUGGUGGGGUAAAGGCUCACCAAGCCAACGAUCUGUAGCUGGUCUGAGAGGACGACCAGCCACACUGGAACUGAGACACGGUCCAGACUCCUAAGGGAGGCAGCAGUGGGGAAUUUUGGACAAUGGACGCAAGUCUGAUCCAGCCAUUCCGCGUGCAGGAUGAAGGCCCUCGGGUUGUAAACUGCUUUUGUACGGAACGAAAAGGUCUCUCUUAAUACGGGGGGCUCAUGACGGUACCGUAAGAAUAAGCACCGGCUAACUACGUGCCAGCAGCCGCAGUAA
Molecule: ribosomal RNA, 496 nt
Filed under: uncultured bacterium
Lineage: Bacteria
Description: partial 16S ribosomal RNA
Rfam family: Bacterial small subunit ribosomal RNA
Source: RNAcentral